CCCUUAGAUGUCCUGGGCCGCACGCGCGCUACACUGACAUGUUCAACAAGCCUCCUAGUUCGACAGGAUUUGGGAAAUCUUUGAACGCAUGUCGUGAUAGGGAUAGAUCAUUGCAAUUAUUGAUCUUGAACGAGGAAUUCCUAGUAAACGCGAGUCAUCAGCUCGCAUUGAUUACGUCCCUGCCCUUUGUACACACCGCCCGUCGCUGCCCGGAACUGAGCCGUUUCGAGAAGACUGAGGAUUGCUGACUUGAGGCCUUCACGGGCUUCUAGUCGGUGAAAAUCAAUUUAAUCGCAGCGGCUUGAACCGGGCAAAAGUCGUAACA
This 325-nucleotide ribosomal RNA is filed under the name uncultured eukaryote. RNAcentral's name for it is "partial 18S ribosomal RNA". It matches the Rfam family "Eukaryotic small subunit ribosomal RNA", at positions 1470 to 1796 of the family's 1831-position model. The record is from RNAcentral.